Molecule: non-coding RNA, 143 nt
Organism: Chiloscyllium plagiosum (whitespotted bambooshark)
Lineage: Eukaryota; Metazoa; Chordata; Chondrichthyes; Orectolobiformes; Hemiscylliidae
Source: RefSeq, a predicted model, not a curated record
AACUUCACACAGUCACCCGAGGAUGGAAUCAAACCCGCGUCCCUGGUGCUGUGAGGCAGCAGUGCUAACUAGUGAUGUUUAUGAUCUCCACCAAGAAGACCGAUGCGUGACAUUGGUUUAAGUGAGAGGUAGUGCCAACUGAA